GACGAACGCUGGCGGCGUGCUUAACACAUGCAAGUCGAACGGUAAGGCCCUUCGGGGUACACGAGUGGCGAACGGGUGAGUAACACGUGGGUGAUCUGCCCUGCACUUCGGGAUAAGCCUGGGAAACUGGGUCUAAUACCGGAUAGGACCACUGCCUGCAUGGGUGGUGGUGGAAAGCUUUUGCGGUGUGGGAUGGGCCCGCGGCCUAUCAGCUUGUUGGUGGGGUGAUGGCCUACCAAGGCGACGACGGGUAGCCGGCCUGAGAGGGUGACCGGCCACACUGGGACUGAGAUACGGCCCAGACUCCUACGGGAGGCAGGAGUGGGGAAUAUUGCACAAUGGGCGCAAGCCUGAUGCAGCGACGCCGCGUGAGGGGUGACGGCCUUCGGGUUGUAAACCUCUUUCAGCACCGACGAAGCGCAAGUGACGGUAGGUGCAGAAGAAGGACCGGCCAACUACGUGCCAGCAGCCGCGGUAA
This 478-nucleotide ribosomal RNA is filed under the name uncultured bacterium. Its description in RNAcentral is "partial 16S ribosomal RNA". It matches the Rfam family "Bacterial small subunit ribosomal RNA", at positions 28 to 523 of the family's 1533-position model. The record is from RNAcentral.